Phyllostomus discolor (pale spear-nosed bat) is the source of this 2012-nucleotide long non-coding RNA. RefSeq lists it as uncharacterized. NCBI's taxonomy places the organism in Eukaryota, Metazoa, Chordata, Mammalia, Chiroptera, Phyllostomidae. The transcript has 2 exons. The record is from RefSeq and is a predicted model, not a curated record.
UCUGCGCGGUCCGCGCCGAGGUCUCAGCGCGCCUGCGCCGCGCCACGAGAACGUGAAGACCCCCCGCACGGCAGCAAGGAUUUCUGGGAGUUGUAGUCUCCGUUUCGGCCGGAAUUUUACCGUCGGCAGAGGGUUGCUGCCAAAGGAUCGGACCACGAUACCCAGAGAUCCUUGCAGACUGUGUCCCGGAUGCUGAGGCCCCGCGACGGCUUUAGGGAAUUGUAGUCCUGCUGCGUUUCUUCUUAGCGCAGUUCCAGUUUCGUAGGGGUACUUUUCCUUGAAACAGGAUCCCCUGGAGUAGAUGGGGCCCAGAGCUAGGGAGGCCCUGAAGACUUCUGUGAAACAGCUCCAGGUGUAAUUUUACUGCCAAGAGUGUAAUAAUUACCUCGCCUCCACACUCGGUAUAGCUUGGGCUCAGUUCAGAUGCCAGCCCUUAGCAGUGCUUAAGAAUCUUGUACGGUCCGUUUGUGCUGCCGGCACCCGGAGUGCGCCACAACAUCCUCAGUCCGGCAGCGGGACUACGGAUCAGGCACGAAGGAGAAAGUCUGCCCGGUGGAAGUCAGCUUGAGAAAGGUUUGCUAAAGAAGAGCUACGGCGACGCAAUACUCGGUUCCCGCGUCUUUGCUGGGGACGCUCCAUAAGCAUUUAGCAACCCUGAAACCUGGAACUCCACGGUUUGGUUCCCUUGUCACCACAACACCUGGCCUGACCAACUUGUUUCCAGUACUGUAGGGGCCAAGGGCGAAUUUAAUCUCCGUCUGGAGUAGUCUCAGGUACACCGGCAAGUUGCAGGGGCGCUGAGAAGCAGCGUAUAGUGUCCAGAAGAAGGGCUUAGGUUCGAGUAGGUGGUGCGAUUUAUGACCCACUCCAGUCUCCUGCUCCGCACGUCAGCCUUUCUAUUUGGGAAAAUGUCUCCCUUUCCCACUUCGCACCAGUGGGGCUAAGUUUUUCACUCCGUGGCCUUUGUGAAAUAAGCCAGUUGCCCCAGACCUAGGCAUUUGAUUCUGUGAGCUUUAUAAAGUUCAAAGAUAUUUUAACGCUGUUGUUAACUAACGAUCAUCCCAUUAAAGAAACAUUCUCAACUACCUUAGAGUGAGGGAGGAUGGGGUGAAUGAAAAAUUAUUUAAGAAUGACACAUACUUAUUUUUAUUUAGUUCCCAGUAACCUCACAUCAGAAACCAAAUUGUCAGCCUACAAAAUUAAGAAACUGGAUGAAACUAGCAACCAGAAACCUUGGAUGAUGCUCUAACCAACUAAGCUCCCCUGCCAGGGUGAAACUGGUAUUUCUUAAACAGGCAAGUGUUUACCACUAGGGGCAUUGGAAGAUGAGAAAUUACAAAAGGACAAAUAAAUGUUGUAGUGUAGUGUUGUAAUCCUAUUAUUAAAUCUCAGUAAUUGGCUUAUGUAUUAUCCCUAAAACACUCCAGUGUGAUUUGAGUGAAGAAAUACAGUUAGUGUGUAGUGCUAAAUUUUAAGUAAGUGUACAGCAUGAGCUUCAGAAUAAGUAAGUGUGCACUAAUAGAAUUAGGAGAGAUCACCCAAUCUGCUUAAUUUACAAGAAAAGGAAACUCAGAGAGGUUGAGUAACCUGCACAGUUACUCAGCAAGCCUGUGACAGAACAGGAACUGCAACAGCUGUCGGCAUCACAUCUGGCGUUGUUUCGAUUGUAUAAACACUUGCAGUUCUCCAUUUCCUGCGUUGCUUUUCCUCCCCUGCACCUAUUUAGGAAAAAGAAAAACGAGUCUGUAUGACUGACAAGGAGGACAAACUAUUUUCGCUAAUUGUCCUUAAGUAGAUGAAUAUAAAUCCACACCCGGUUGCUCCUGGAGCAGUUUUACUUCCUCUCUAAUAAUGAGCAAAACUGAAAGAAAAAAUAACAAAAACAAAAAAACCCGCAGUCUCUCCUGUAGGAGGCGUGGGACAGAGGGGGUUCCAGAUCGCCUGUGAAAACGCUGGAACACAAAGGUGUGUUUCAAGGAACCCAUUCCUUCCCCAGGCCAUUUAAGCAGUGG